Molecule: long non-coding RNA, 1400 nt
Filed under: Bemisia tabaci
Lineage: Eukaryota; Metazoa; Arthropoda; Insecta; Hemiptera; Aleyrodidae
Description: lncRNA ENSASIAIIG008017
Source: RNAcentral
CCUUUAUUAAGUAAUGUGUUUAAACAUCGGUCGAAUAUAAAAAAAGAGAAUGAAAAUUUUUACUUUUUGAGAGAUUAAAUAUAUUCCAUCUUUUUAAAACGAACAUAUUCCAACAUUUCUUACGACGAAAUAGCCUCUUUUCUUCUUUCCGUUUUAGGUUUUUUUUUCUUUUUUUCUUCCAUUUUUUUUUCCUUUUUUAAUUUAAUAAUUUUUAAUCAUUUCAGCAACGCCGGAAUCUCUCUCAAAAAAAGGAUUGGAAAGAUUGGACUUCCUCCUCAACUACACCCAAACCCUCGGAGAUUUCAUAAUGGGUAAGGACCCAGAUAAGUUCGCCUAUGGCACUCUCGCCAAGAGAGUUCUGUCAAUAACGAUGGAGAUCGUCCAUUUAUUAAAUACCUUAUAUACAGCAAUUGGAGAAAGUGUUCCCGAAGACCUCGUCGACCUGGCCACCAUGGAGAAAGCCAUCAACACCUGCCAGCCUCGUUAUAAGUUACAAAUUUUAUAUUAUAUUUAAUUUUAACUUCAUUCCUGAAAAGAAUAAUGUUCCAAUUAAUAAAUUCCAUUACAUUAAUGAUGAAUAUAAAUAGUUUUUUUUAAUGAAUACUUGUUUUAAUAGGAAUUUUGAUGAAUUAUAAUUGUAUAUAUUUUUCACCCUUUCCUCCGUAAGUUAUUAUAUGGGUGGUUCUGAUACUCGUUUUUUUUCCCAUUUGUAGGUAGAUGUGUCUUCAAGUACUCCCAUCUUGCGGAAGUCAUUGGAAGAAUAAUAAGCCAUGCCAAGGACGGAAGAUUCCAGAUAAUUGAAUACCUUGAUCAAGUAUCUCCGCACGAAUCCAUCGCAUCUGAAGUCUGCCCCGAAACGAGAGAUACCAUCACCUUGGUAAUCAUAAAUUAUUAUAUUUAUACAUUAUAUUUUAAGACUACGAAGGAAUCUAAUUUUUUUCUAUUUUAUUAAUCGGAUUGUCGAGGAAGAUGAAAGUUUUAUUUUGUUUAUCUUUUUGUUUUUUCAGGUUUGUCCAGUUACAGGAGAAUUAAUCGGCGUACCAAUUUGUGAUUGCGCUUCCCCUCACCGUCCCGAUUAUUCUCCAAUACAGGAGCUCAGUGGAGAGACGUCUGAUUCAGACGAGGAAGAUUUCUUUUUUCAAACGCCGGAACCGGAAAACCAGGCGAGACAGAAGGAUAGAUUUUCUGUUUCAAAUCUUGACCCUCUCCUUCUCGGAAGGGCAAUUAGUGUCCUAGCGGAGGAAGGAAGACUGGCCCUGUGCAAAAAAAAACCCUGUUUUAUCAUUGCCAUGCGGGAAACAAGAUAUCACGACCGGAUUAUUGCAGGGAAGACAUCUUUAAACCGGAACAUGUGAAGCUGCGGAUCUACAACUAUAGUAGGGCUACUACGUAUCCAAACA